GGAAUAAAUAUUUUUAAGCUUUUAGAUUUCCUUAUUGUUGUGAACAACAGCGAGUUCUCACUAUAAAGGGCAUUUUGAGAAGAUGCCCAAGCACCAGCAUUUUGCAGAGAUGAGAGACCACACUCUCUGUUGUAAGGGCCCCAACCCUAUCUGGUGCUCUUCAAUUCACUAUUUAACCUUUUCUCUGUCAGUACUUGCUGCUUUUUCUUCAUCCUUUUCAUCUAAAUUUUGGCUCUCUUUUCGAUUUUGAGGUAGGGGCCUUCACUUUUAAUGAAUCGGUUAAUUCUAAUAUUUUAGUAAUAGUUUGUCUAAUUUUAUGAAUUCUUAAUUCUAAUCUAUUUAUUUAUCUCCAUCCUUCCAUUUAAAAUUGUAAUAUGAUAUUAGAGCAAGGAGUUUAUGAGAGUUGAGAGCAAGCUAACUAUUUUUAGCAAAUGAUGAAUCUAUGUUGUAGUAUAGACUCGUCUCUAAUUUAUUCAUUCACCUUCACUGUUCAAUUCAAAAGUGUACAUAUAGGUUUUUGUUGUAAGUGCCUUAUUUUUUUGUUGAAGUGCCUUCUUGUGUAUUGGAUCUUGUACUCCGAACAUAUAGCUUACUCUGCCUGAUUUGCUCGAAGAUGUCACGAUUGAGUGCAUUGGGCGGAUUCUGAUUAUUCAGCAAGUUGAUUUUUGUGAAUUCAUUUGGGUUAUUUUAGACAUUUGUUUCACUUUUUAUGUAAUCUUUAAUCAAUUUUGUUAAUGUAAAAAUCUUUUUAAUUUAUUUUAUU
This 763-nucleotide unclassified non-coding RNA is filed under the name Hevea brasiliensis (rubber tree). The record is from RNAcentral. Lineage: Eukaryota; Viridiplantae; Streptophyta; Magnoliopsida; Malpighiales; Euphorbiaceae.